UGUGAAAGUGGAAGGAAGCCUCAAAGCAAU
Molecule: non-coding RNA, 30 nt
Filed under: Mus musculus (house mouse)
Lineage: Eukaryota; Metazoa; Chordata; Mammalia; Rodentia; Muridae
Source: RNAcentral